This 1158-nucleotide ribosomal RNA is filed under the name Escherichia coli. RNAcentral's name for it is "partial 23S ribosomal RNA". It matches the Rfam family "Bacterial large subunit ribosomal RNA", at positions 1 to 1191 of the family's 2925-position model. Lineage: Bacteria; Pseudomonadati; Pseudomonadota; Gammaproteobacteria; Enterobacterales; Enterobacteriaceae. The record is from RNAcentral.
GGGUUGUGAGGUUAAGCGACUAAGCGUACACGGUGGAUGCCCUGGCAGUCAGAGGCGAUGAAGGACGUGCUAAUCUGCGAUAAGCGUCGGUAAGGUGAUAUGAACCGUUAUAACCGGCGAUUUCCGAAUGGGGAAACCCAGUGUGUUUCGACACACUAUCAUUAACUGAAUCCAUAGGUUAAUGAGGCGAACCGGGGGAACUGAAACAUCUAAGUACCCCGAGGAAAAGAAAUCAACCGAGAUUCCCCCAGUAGCGGCGAGCGAACGGGGAGCAGCCCAGAGCCUGAAUCAGUGUGUGUGUUAGUGGAAGCGUCUGGAAAGGCGCGCGAUACAGGGUGACAGCCCCGUACACAAAAAUGCACAUACUGUGAGCUCGAUGAGUAGGGCGGGACACGUGGUAUCCUGUCUGAAUAUGGGGGGACCAUCCUCCAAGGCUAAAUACUCCUGACUGACCGAUAGUGAACCAGUACCGUGAGGGAAAGGCGAAAAGAACCCCGGCGAGGGGAGUGAAAAAGAACCUGAAACCGUGUACGUACAAGCAGUGGGAGCACGCUUCGGCGUGUGACUGCGUACCUUUUGUAUAAUGGGUCAGCGACUUAUAUUCUGUAGCAAGGUUAACCGAAUAGGGGAGCCGAAGGGAAACCGAGUCUUAACUGGGCGUUAAGUUGCAGGGUAUAGACCCGAAACCCGGUGAUCUAGCCAUGGGCAGGUUGAAGGUUGGGUAACACUAACUGGAGGACCGAACCGACUAAUGUUGAAAAAUUAGCGGAUGACUUGUGGCUGGGGGUGAAAGGCCAAUCAAACCGGGAGAUAGCUGGUUCUCCCCGAAAGCUAUUUAGGUAGCGCCUCGUGAAUUCAUCUCCGGGGGUAGAGCACUGUUUCGGCAAGGGGGUCAUCCCGACUUACCAACCCGAUGCAAACUGCGAAUACCGGAGAAUGUUAUCACGGGAGACACACGGCGGGUGCUAACGUCCGUCGUGAAGAGGGAAACAACCCAGACCGCCAGCUAAGGUCCCAAAGUCAUGGUUAAGUGGGAAACGAUGUGGGAAGGCCCAGACAGCCAGGAUGUUGGCUUAGAAGCAGCCAUCAUUUAAAGAAAGCGUAAUAGCUCACUGGUCGAGUCGGCCUGCGCGGAAGAUGUAACGGGGCUAAACCAUG